Bos mutus (wild yak) is the source of this 2541-nucleotide long non-coding RNA. Lineage: Eukaryota; Metazoa; Chordata; Mammalia; Artiodactyla; Bovidae. The record is from Ensembl.
AUGAACGCCCAGAGCCAGCAGAGGCACGCAUCCUCCUGUGCUGGAGGUCCCCACAAGGAGAUCAAUCCUCCGAGAGUGUUUGAAAGACCAUGUUUGCUGUCUUGGAUACACAUUUCCCAACCACACGUUACAACAUUGAGAGGAUGCCAUUUUGCUUUAACCACAACCAACAGACUUGCAACUAACAGGCAGUGCUUAGGAUGGAAUGAACCCCUUCUAAUGUAUCCCCCCCUUCAACCAGUGUAACCCUAGAAUCUCUGUUUGGAUAGUUAUUUUGAUACUUUGGCUACCUGAUGCGAAGAGCUGACUUAUUGGAAAAGACUGAUGCUGGGAAAGAUUGAGGACAAAAGAAGGGGCGACAGAGGAUGAGAUGGUUGGAUGGCACCAUCGACUCAAUGGACAUGAGUUUGAGUAAACUCUGGGAGAUAGUGAAGGACAGGGAAGCUUGGCAUGCUACAGUUGAUGGGAUCACCAAGAGUCAGACACGACUUAGCGCCUGAACAACAAAAAUUGAGUCUCAUGAAAAAGGGUCAUCUCUGCCUGAACCUCACCCACCCCACAUCCAGCAGUGACAGGCACCUCAAGGUACUUCAUCCUUUUUUAAAGAGUUACAGGUUAAAGGUUUUCCCUAUGUGGAAUUGAAACCAAGUCCAGAAGAACCAGUUUCCCUUACUGUGUUCAUAAUUACUCUCUCCAUCCCAGACUUUAUUCCCUUGCUUGUCUCAUCUGACCACAAUCCCUUUCUUGUCCCUUCUGACCUCAGUCCUUUGGUAGCUGGACACUAAUCAAGCAGUCAGAUGACUGAGAUUGGUGUGGUUGAUACCAUCGUUAAUGUGCUAAAAUUACUAUUAUAGAUAUCACCAUUAACUUACAAACUCAGGUUGUUUCUCCAGGACAAGAUGAGCUCACAGACCACCACCUCCCCUCCACAACAAGCCAUGGACUACCUUCCCAGAGAAUUGUACACGGAAAACUUUCUAGCUUCCGAAACCACAAUCAAGAAAAAAUCAAAGAAAUGUCGCAAAACAAUGAUGAAUCUCAGUUUCUUUGUUAUUCCUCUUUAAAUCAUUCCUAACUCAAAGACAAAAAUGGAACGGAUCUGACACUUACCUCCCACUCAUUGCUUGGGGCCCUCCAAACAAAAAUCCUUCCUUUGCUGCAACACCUGCUGUCAGAUUUUGGCUUUCUGAGCCUCAAGCUCACUCUGUGCAGAAUAAGAAACAGAUUCACCUCCCAACUCUUCAAUUCCUAAACAAAAUGUUCUGAAAUCUGAAAGUUUUAUUAUUAUUUUUUUUUCUGUAGUUCCUUUGACAGCAAACCCUAUGAUGAACUGGUAUGAGGCUAUCUGUAGUCAUUUAUCCUGUCAUAAUGAUUUACAGCAGAAAUAUCAGUGUGUUUGAUUAUGGUACUGCCCCAAGCCCCAAAUCCAUAUGUAUUAUAUAUCAUCCCAAAUACUAAUUGGGAUGAUAUAUAAUAUAUGUUUAUGAUGCUUUUGAACUGUGGUGUUGGAGAAGACUCUUGAGAGUCCCAUGGACUGCAAGGAGAUCCAACCAGUCCAUCCUAAAGGAGACCAGUCCUGGGUGUUCAUUGGAGGGACUGAUGUUGAAGCUGAAACUCCAAUAUUUUGGCCACCUGAUGCAGAGAGCUGACUCAUUUGAAAAGACCCUGAUGCUGGGAAAGAUUGAGGGCAGGAGGAGAAGGGGACGACAGAGGAUGAGAUGGUUGGAUGGCAUCACCUACUCGAUGGACAUGAGUCUGAGUAAACUCCGGGAGUUGGUGAUGGACAGGGAGGCCUGGCGUGCUGCGGUUCAUGGGGUCACAAAGAGUCGGACAUGACUGAGCAACUGAACUGAACUGAUAUGUACCAUAUCACCUUUUCAAACUUUGGAAAAUUACAGAGGGUUUUGGACAAGGAAUUGUGAACCUGUAUCUGUUUCUCCAAAUAGGAUAUUUCGGUCUUCUACAUCCAAUUUAUUUUUUCUAGGUAUUCAAGAUCACUGAUUGAAAAGAGGUGAAUUAAAGUCUCCCACUAUUUGUUUGUCUAUUUUUUCUGUAUCUCCUGUACUUUUAGCUUUAUGAUUAUUGUUCUUUGUUUCUUGGUAGACAGGCAUUCAUAACUGUUAUAUCCUCAUUGUGACUUGCAUCUUUGAAUGUUAUAAAGUGCCUCUCUUCAUCUUCACCUGAUGUGAUAUUGAGAUUAUGACUCGUGCCUUCUUUUCUUUGCAUUUGCCUCAUGCAUAAUUAUACAUUAAUUUUCAGCCUUCUGGGAAACACUUUAUCUUAAAUGGGUCAUUUGCUUGACAACAGCAUAAGGUCAGUUUUGCUGAAAAAUAUAAGCUGAAUUUCUUUUUCUUUUAAUAGCUGAGUUAAGCCUAUUUAGACAUUUAUUGAUAUGUCACAUAUGUUAACCUUAGUUCUAUCACACUAAUACCAUAUUAUACUUUUUAAUUCUAUAGUUUUUCAUAAUCUCUUACCAUGUAGCCUGUGGUCUUGUUGUAAGUUUUGGAAGUUACUUUUAUAAUAAAAACUUUAAUGCCUCCA